This 231-nucleotide ribosomal RNA is filed under the name uncultured bacterium. RNAcentral's name for it is "partial 16S ribosomal RNA". It matches the Rfam family "Bacterial small subunit ribosomal RNA", at positions 118 to 346 of the family's 1533-position model. The record is from RNAcentral.
UGGGUGACCUGCCCUCAGCUCUGGGAUAAGCCUGGGAAACUGGGUCUAAUACUGGAUAUUCACUUCUCAUCGCAUGGUGGGUGGUGGAAAGCUUUUUUGUGGUUUUGGAUGGACUAGCGGCCUAUCAGCUUGUUGGUGAGGUAAUGGCUCACCAAGGCGACGACGGGUAGCCGGCCUGAGAGGGUGACCGGCCGCACUGGGACUGAGACACGGCCCAGACCUCCUACGGGA